ACGGGAGGCAGCAGUGGGGAAUAUUGGUCAAUGGGCGCAAGCCUGAUCCAGCGACGCCGCGUGAGUGAAGAAGUAUUUCUGUAUGUAAAGCUCUAUCAGCAGGGAAGAUAAUGACGGUACCUGACUAAGAAUCCCCGGCUAACUACGUGCCAGCAGCCGCGGUAAUACGUAGGUGGCAAGCGUUAUCCGGAUUUACUGGGUGUAAAGGGCGCGUAGGCGGGGAUGCAAGUCAGAUGUGAAAUCCAUGGGCUCAACCCAUGAACUGCAUUUGAAACUGUAGCGCUUGAGUGCUGGAGAGGUAGAUGGAAUUCCUAGUGUAGCGGUGAAAUGCGUAGAUAUUAGGAAGAACACCAGUGGCGAAGGCGAUCUACUGGACAGUAACUGACGCUGAGGCGCGAAAGCGUGGGGAGCAAACAGGAUUAGAUACCCUGGUA
RNAcentral lists this ribosomal RNA (434 nucleotides) under uncultured Clostridium sp. Its description in RNAcentral is "partial 16S ribosomal RNA". It matches the Rfam family "Bacterial small subunit ribosomal RNA", at positions 341 to 792 of the family's 1533-position model. The record is from RNAcentral. Lineage: Bacteria; Bacillati; Bacillota; Clostridia; Eubacteriales; Clostridiaceae.